RNAcentral lists this ribosomal RNA (527 nucleotides) under uncultured bacterium. Its description in RNAcentral is "bacterial SSU rRNA". It matches the Rfam family "Bacterial small subunit ribosomal RNA", at positions 1 to 525 of the family's 1533-position model. The record is from RNAcentral.
UAGAGUUUGAUCCUGGCUCAGGACGAACGCUGGCGGCGUGCCUAAUACAUGCAAGUCGAGCGGACAGAUGGAGUGCUUGCACUCCUGAUGUUAGCGGCGGACGGGUGAGUAACACGUAGGCAACCUGCCCGACAGACAGGGAUAACUCCGGGAAACCGGUGCUAAUACCUGAUACGCAGCGAGGAGGCAUCUCUUUGCUGGGAAAGACCAUGAGUCACUGUCGGAUGGGCCUGCGGCGCAUUAGCUAGUUGGUGGGGUAGAGGCCUACCAAGGCGACGAUGCGUAGCCGACCUGAGAGGGUGAUCGGCCACACUGGGACUGAGACACGGCCCAGACUCCUACGGGAGGCAGCAGUAGGGAAUCUUCCGCAAUGGACGAAAGUCUGACGGAGCAACGCCGCGUGAACGAAGAAGGUUUUCGGAUCGUAAAGUUCUGUUGUAAGGGACGAACCGCCGGGAUGACCUCCCGGUCUGACGGUACCUUACGAGAAAGCCCCGGCUAACUACGUGCCAGCAGCCGCGGUAAUA